GCAUGUGGUUUAAUUCGAUGCAACGCGAAGAACCUUACCUGGUCUUGACAUCCACGGAAGUUUUCAGAGAUGAGAAUGUGCCUUCGGGAACCGUGAGACAGGUGCUGCAUGGCUGUCGUCAGCUCGUGUUGUGAAAUGUUGGGUUAAGUCCCGCAACGAGCGCAACCCUUAUCCUUUGUUGCCAGCGGUCCGGCCGGGAACUCAAAGGAGACUGCCAGUGAUAAACUGGAGGAAGGUGGGGAUGACGUCAAGUCAUCAUGGCCCUUACGACCAGGGCUACACACGUGCUACAAUGGCGCAUACAAAGAGAAGCGACCUCGCGAGAGCAAGCGGACCUCAUAAAGUGCGUCGUAGUCCGGAUUGGAGUCUGCAACUCGACUCCAUGAAGUCGGAAUCGCUAGUAAUCGUGGAUCAGAAUGCCACGGUGAAUACGUUCCCGGGCCUUGUACACACCGCCCGUCACACCAUGGGAGUGGGUUGCAAAAGAAGUAGGUAGCUUAACCUUCGGGAGGGCGCUUACCACUUUGUGAUUCAUGACUGGGGUGAAGUCGUAACAAGGUAACCGUAGGGGAACCUGCGGUUGGAUCACCUCCUUA
This 596-nucleotide ribosomal RNA is filed under the name Escherichia coli. RNAcentral describes it as "bacterial SSU rRNA". It matches the Rfam family "Bacterial small subunit ribosomal RNA", at positions 937 to 1533 of the family's 1533-position model. The record is from RNAcentral. Lineage: Bacteria; Pseudomonadati; Pseudomonadota; Gammaproteobacteria; Enterobacterales; Enterobacteriaceae. RNAcentral also lists the same sequence under 1 other name.